Molecule: ribosomal RNA, 232 nt
Filed under: uncultured bacterium
Lineage: Bacteria
Description: partial 16S ribosomal RNA
Rfam family: Bacterial small subunit ribosomal RNA
Source: RNAcentral
UGAGGAACAUGACCUUCGGCGGGGGAUAGCCGGCCCAACGGCCGGGUAAUACCGCGUACGACCACAUGGGGACAUCCCUGAGUGGUGAAAGCAGCAAUGCGCCGAUGGAGUGCCUCGCGGCCUAUCAGCUAGUUGAUGAGGUAACGCUCACCAAGGCGACGACGGGUAGCUGGUCUGAGAGGAUGGCCAGCCACAGUUGGGACUGAGACACGGCCCAGAUCCCGUAACGGGG